This 399-nucleotide ribosomal RNA is filed under the name uncultured bacterium. RNAcentral describes it as "partial 16S ribosomal RNA". It matches the Rfam family "Bacterial small subunit ribosomal RNA", at positions 523 to 918 of the family's 1533-position model. The record is from RNAcentral.
AUACGGGGGGAGCAAGCGUUGUUCGGAUUUACUGGGCGUAAAGGGCGCGUAGGCGGCCAGCGCAAGUCAGUUGUGAAAUCUCCGAGCUUAACUCGGAAAGGUCGACUGAUACUGCGCGGCUAGAGUGCGGAAGGGGCAACUGGAAUUCUUGGUGUAGCGGUGAAAUGCGUAGAUAUCAAGAGGAACACCUGCGGCGAAGGCGGGGUGCUGGGCCGACACUGACGCUGAGGCGCGAAAGCCAGGGGAGCGAACGGGAUUAGAUACCCCGGUAGUCCUGGCCUUAAACGAUGAAUGCUUGGUGUCUGGGGUUACAUAGUCCCCGGGUGCCGUCGCUAACGCUUUAAGCAUUCCGCCUGGGGAGUACGGUCGCAAGACUGAAACUCAAAGGAAUUGACGGGG